Molecule: ribosomal RNA, 1255 nt
Filed under: metagenome
Description: bacterial SSU rRNA
Rfam family: Eukaryotic small subunit ribosomal RNA
Source: RNAcentral
UCCUUGAUUGGUGGUAGAAGCGCUUCCGCAUUCAACACAUGCAUAUGCCCCUGUCCGUGGAGGUUACUGUGAACAAAACAGCGUGUCCAAAGCAACCACAUGUCUGGCUGAAUGAUCUAGCAUGGAAUAACAAGGCAUCGACCACUGGAGUCAGCCUUUUUGUUGGUUUUACAUGACCCAGUUGGGCAAUGCAGGGCUUGUGCUUCAUUGAGGUUCUUAGUCAGCUCUACCGAACUGUCUUCCCUCAGUUGGACCUUGUUCCCUAUCGGGAUCAAUGGAAGCCAUCGGGGUGGUAUGUAUUCCGACGUGAGCGGUGAAAUGCUUAGACCGUUGGAAGACAAACGACAGCGAAGGCAUUCCGCCAGAAUGUUUUCAUUAAUCAAGAACGAGAGUGUGGGGAUCGAAGAUGAUCAGAUACCAUCGUAGUCCAUUACCGUAAACUAUGCCAACUCGGCAUUGGGAGUCUGUUCACUUUGAAGACUCUCCCAGCAUCAUCCCCCAAUAACGAGAAAUCCAAGUCUAUGGGUUCAGGGGGGAGUACAGUCGCAAGGCUGAAACUUAAAGGAAUUGACGGAAUGACACCACAAGGCGUGGAGUAUGCGGCUUAAUUUGACCCAACACGGGGAAGCUUACCAGGUCAGACACAGUAAGGAUUGACAGAUUGAGAGCUCUUUCUUGAUCCUAUGGAUGGUGGUGCAUGGCCGUUUCUGGUUCGUGGAGUGAUCUGUCUGCUUAAUUGCGAUAACGAACGAGAUCUCUACCUCUAAAUAGGCGCCGGUCUCGCAUGUAAGUAGGGAUGUGUUGGGGGCCUUCGUGUCCCCUCAUGUCCUGAGAGUGCCGGGAUCGCUUCUUAGACGGACUGUGCAUGUCUUUAAUGCACGGAAGAGGGAGUCAAUAGCAGGUCUGUGAUGCUCCUAGAUGUUCUGGGCUGCACGCGCACUACACUGGCACAGUAAACGAGUUGCACCUGCUUCGGCAGUCCUGCUUAGAAGUGAGCGUGGGAAAUCUUAGAAAACUGUGCCGUGCUGGGGAUAGAUGAUUGCGAUUAUUUGUCUUGAACGAGGAAUGCCUAGUAGAGGUACUUCAUCAGAGUACCUUGAUUGUGUCCCUGCCAUUUGUACACACCGCCCGUCGUUGCUACCGAUUGGCUGUAAAAUAGAGGCCUUAAGAGUCGCUUCCGCAAAGCUUUGCUUUUGGGGUUGUGACAAAUCUGGCCAAUAUUUCAUUGCUAGAGGAAGCAAAAGUCGUAACAAGG